This 497-nucleotide ribosomal RNA is filed under the name uncultured bacterium. RNAcentral describes it as "partial 16S ribosomal RNA". It matches the Rfam family "Bacterial small subunit ribosomal RNA", at positions 28 to 507 of the family's 1533-position model. The record is from RNAcentral.
GAUGAACGCUGGCGGCGUGCCUAAUACAUGCAAGUCUAGCGAACGGACGAGAAGCUUGCUUCUCUGAUGUUAGCGGCGGACGGGUGAGUAACACGUGGAUAACCUACCUAUAAGACUGGGAUAACUUCGGGAAACCGUAGCUAAUACCGGAUAAUAUUUUGAACCGCAUGGUUCAAAAGUGAAAGACGGUCUUGCUGUCACUUAUAGAUGGAUCCGCGCUGCAUUAGCUAGUUGGUAAGGUAACGGCUUACCAAGGCAACGAUGCAUAGCCGGCCUGAGAGGGUGAUCGGCCACACUGGAACUGAGACACGGUCCAGACUCCUACGGGAGGCAGCAGUAGGGAAUCUUCCGCAAUGGGCGAAAGCCUGACGGAGCAACGCCGCGUGAGUGAUGAAGGUCUUCGGAUCGUAAAACUCUGUUAUUAGGGAAGUACAUAUGUGUAAGUAACUGUGCACAUCUUGACGGUACCUAAUCAGAAAGCCACGGCUAACUACGUG